UACAGAGGUCUCAAGCGUUGUUCGGAUUCAUUGGGCGUAAAGGGUGCGCAGGUGGCGCCGUAAGUCAGGUGUGAAAUUUCGGAGCUUAACUCCGAAACUGCAUUUGAUACUGCGGUGCUUGAGGACUGGAGAGGAGACUGGAAUUUACGGUGUAGCAGUGAAAUGCGUAGAGAUCGUAAGGAAGACCAGUGGCGAAGGCGGGUCUCUGGACAGUUCCUGACACUGAGGCACGAAGGCCAGGGGAGCAAACGGG
This 253-nucleotide ribosomal RNA is filed under the name uncultured bacterium. Its description in RNAcentral is "partial 16S ribosomal RNA". It matches the Rfam family "Bacterial small subunit ribosomal RNA", at positions 524 to 776 of the family's 1533-position model. The record is from RNAcentral.